GCUGGCGGCGUGCCUAACACAUGCAAGUCAACUUGGACGGAGGAGCAAUCUGACCGUAGAGUAGGCGGCAACGGGUGCGUAACGCGUAAGUAACUUGCCCCAAGGUAAGGAAUAACGUCGAGAAAUCGGCGCUAAUACCUCAUAAUGCAGCGGAUCCGCAUGGAUAUGUUGUUAAAGGUUUACCGCCUUGGGAUAGGCUUGCGUCUGAUUAGCUAGUGGUGUGGUAACGGCACACCAAGGCUACGAUCAGUAACUGGUCUGAGAGGAUGAUCAGUCACACUGGAACUGAGACACGGUCCAGACUCCUACGGGAGGCAGCAGUGAGGAAUAUUGGGCAAUGCUCGAAAGAGUGACCCAGCAACGCCGCGUGGAGGAUGAAGGUAUUCUAUAUCGUAAACUCCUGUGAGAGCAGACGAAAGACAGAUUAUUAAUCUGGAUGACUGUAUGCUCAGAGGAAGCCCCGGCUAACUACGUG
Molecule: ribosomal RNA, 475 nt
Filed under: uncultured bacterium
Lineage: Bacteria
Description: bacterial SSU rRNA
Rfam family: Bacterial small subunit ribosomal RNA
Source: RNAcentral